GGUAGAAUUCCAGGUGUAGCGGUGAAAUGCGUAGAGAUCUGGAGGAAUACCGGUGGCGAAGGCGGCCCCCUGGACAAAGACUGACGCUCAGGUGCGAAAGCGUGGGGAGCAAACAGGAUUAGAUACCCUGGUAGUCCACGCCGUAAACGAUGUCUACUUGGAGGUUGUGCCCUUGAGGCGUGGCUUCCGGAGCUAACGCGUUAAGUAGACCGCCUGGGGAGUACGGCCGCAAGGUUAAAACUCAAAUGAAUUGACGGGGGCCCGCACAAGCGGUGGAGCAUGUGGUUUAAUUCGAUGCAACGCGAAGAACCUUACCUGGUCUUGACAUCCACAGAACUUUCCAGAGAUGGAUUGGUGCCUUCGGGAACUGUGAGACAGGUGCUGCAUGGCUGUCGUCAGCUCGUGUUGUGAAAUGUUGGGUUAAGUCCCGCAACGAGCGCAACCCUUAUCCUUUGUUGCCAGCGAUUA
Molecule: ribosomal RNA, 468 nt
Filed under: Salmonella enterica
Lineage: Bacteria; Pseudomonadati; Pseudomonadota; Gammaproteobacteria; Enterobacterales; Enterobacteriaceae
Description: bacterial SSU rRNA
Rfam family: Bacterial small subunit ribosomal RNA
Source: RNAcentral